UGAGGAAUAUUGGUCAAUGGGCGAGAGCCUGAACCAGCCAGGUCGCGUGAGGGAAGACGGUCCUAUGGAUUGUAAACCUCUUUUGUCGGGGAGCAAGGCCACUCACGAGUGAGUGGAAGGAGAGUACCCGAAGAAAAAGCAUCGGCUAACUCCGUGCC
Molecule: ribosomal RNA, 158 nt
Filed under: uncultured bacterium
Lineage: Bacteria
Description: partial 16S ribosomal RNA
Rfam family: Bacterial small subunit ribosomal RNA
Source: RNAcentral